CCAGAGACAAGCUGCAUUCCUAGAAUUGCUGCCUGGGCACCCAGAGGAAGGAGGCUCGGCACCUGCCCGAGGAGAAAAGGAAAGACAAGAAAACCAAACUGCCUAUUGUCUAUUUGUAAAAAUCAAGAAACUUUAUGACACUUCUGGUGCAUUUGUGGAAGAACAGUGGAUGAAUGCACAGGAAGAGGAAGAAAUGGGGAGUUUCUGGGUUAGAGGAGUUGGAUUGAAGGGAGGGAGGAGGUCAGCAUAUGAACAGAAGCUGAGCUCCUAUUUAAAAAGACGCCAAAUUCAGUGACAUAAAAAACAAAGGAGUUUACAGUCAUGUGCCACAUAACGAUGUUUCAGUCAACAACGGACCACAUAUAUGGUGGUGAUGCCAUAAGAUUAGUACCAUACAGCCUAGGUGUGUUGUAGGCUAUACUGUCUAGGUUUGUGUGAGUACAUUCUAUGAGUUCACACGAUGAUGAAAUCACCCAGUGACACAUUUCUCAGAACAUAUCCCUGUCGUUAAGUGACCCAUGACUGUGUUUGUCUUUCAUAUCCAAGGAAAGCAUUCCCGGACAGUGGGCAGUGCUAUCCACUUCCCAGGUGCCCAAAUUCCUUCCAACUCCAGGCUCUGCCAUUCCCCAGAACUUUGCCAUUCAUUGCUUGCGUGGUGGAGGCUGAGUCAUAGCUGCAUCUGGCAAGAGAGCAUGGAGGAGACCAACUCAUACUGUUAGAGCUGCACACCAGAAAUAGCCCACGUCAGAACAUGUCCCAUUGAUUACACCGUGUGAGGACCCAGCAGAUCUUGCUGGCAUCCCUUACAGCAGCUGUAGAGAAUCUCCAAGACAGAAAGUCAGAGACAUGUCAAGCAGCUUUCAGGGUACAGCUGUGGGAAGCUGCCAGGGUAAAAGUUGGGAUCAGAGGAUGUGAGAUGAGGCCAAGAGGUAUCUGACAUGACAUUAUCCUCAGUUCUGGGCAUACAACCACACACAAGCUGUAGUUCCA
RNAcentral lists this long non-coding RNA (990 nucleotides) under Equus asinus (donkey). RNAcentral's name for it is "lncRNA (ENSEASG00005028042.1)". The record is from RNAcentral. Lineage: Eukaryota; Metazoa; Chordata; Mammalia; Perissodactyla; Equidae.